RNAcentral lists this ribosomal RNA (732 nucleotides) under uncultured Campylobacter sp. RNAcentral's name for it is "bacterial SSU rRNA". It matches the Rfam family "Bacterial small subunit ribosomal RNA", at positions 28 to 776 of the family's 1533-position model. The record is from RNAcentral. Lineage: Bacteria; Pseudomonadati; Campylobacterota; Epsilonproteobacteria; Campylobacterales; Campylobacteraceae.
AGUGAACGCUGGCGGCGUGCAUAAUACAUGCAAGUCGAACGAUGAAGUCCUAGCUUGCUAGGAUGGAUUAGUGGCGCACGGGUGAGUAAUAUAUAGUUAAUCUGCCCUACACAGAGGAACAACAGUUGGAAACGGCUGCUAAUACCUCAUACUCCUAUUUGACAUAAGUUAAAUAGGGAAAGUCUUUUCGGUGUAGGAUGAGACUAUAUCGUAUCAGCUAGUUGGUAAGGUAAUGGCUUACCAAGGCUAUGACGCGUAACUGGUCUGAGAGGAUGAUCAGCCACAUUGGAACUGAGACACGGUCCAAACUCCUACGGGAGGCAGCAGUAAGGAAUAUUGCGCAAUGGGGGAAACCCUGACGCAGCAACGCCGCGUGGAGGAUGACACUUUUCGGAGCGUAAACUCCUUUUAUCAGGAAAGAAUAAUGACGGUACCUGAUGAAUAAGCACCGGCUAACUCCGUGCCAGCAGCCGCGGUAAUACGGGGGGUGCAAGCGUUACUCGGAAUCACUGGGCGUAAAGGACGCGUAGGCGGAUUAUCAAGUCUUUUGUGAAAUCUAGUGGCUUAACCACUAAACUGCUUAGGAAACUGAUAGUCUAGAGUAGGGGAGAGGUAGAUGGAAUUCUUGGUGUAGGGGUAAAAUCCGUAGAGAUCAAGAAGAAUACCCAUUGCGAAAGCGAUCUGCUGGAACCUAACUGACGCUGAGGCGUGAAAGCGUGGGUAGCAAACAGG